GGCCCGUUAGCUCAGUUGGUUAGAGCGUCGGCAAUAACGCGAAGGUCGCGGGUUCACCCCCUCACGGGCCA
Non-coding RNA from Trichonephila inaurata madagascariensis, 71 nucleotides. Lineage: Eukaryota; Metazoa; Arthropoda; Arachnida; Araneae; Nephilidae. The record is from the annotation of a GenBank genome assembly.